GGAAAAAAGAAAAAAAAAGGAAGAAUUGGGAGAAGAAAUGCUUCAGUAUCCAUCACUAAGAGGACUGAACAAAUAACCACUUCAAAGACUGCGUCUAAAAUUUGCACCGUAAAUCCCUGACAUUGCAAACAUUUAUUGAAUGGGCCAGGAUCAUGUCUUCCUCACAAGUCUGGAGCCGUGGGAAUCCUCAGCACAGAGGAACAAUGAGGUUCCCUAGGAAGAACAUGUAGACUAAAAAGUGCAUCAGGCUGAGAAAGGAGACCCAAGGAAGACCAGUUCUCACAGAGUCAGCAGAG
This is a long non-coding RNA of Hyaena hyaena (striped hyena), 296 nucleotides long. RefSeq lists it as uncharacterized. The transcript has 3 exons. The record is from RefSeq and is a predicted model, not a curated record. NCBI's taxonomy places the organism in Eukaryota, Metazoa, Chordata, Mammalia, Carnivora, Hyaenidae.